UACAGAGGGUGCAACCGUUGCUCGGAAUCAUUGGGCGUAAAGCGCACGUAGGUGGCGCGUUAAGUCGGAUGUGAAAGCCCUGGGCUCAACCCAGGAAGUGCAUACGAAACUGGCGCGCUUGAGUAUGGAAGAGGGUCGCGGAAUUCCCGGUGUAGAGGUGAAAUUCGUAGAUAUCGGGAGGAACACCAGUGGCGAAGGCGGCGACCUGGGCCAAUACUGACACUGAGGUGCGAAAGCGUGGGGAGCAAACAGG
Molecule: ribosomal RNA, 253 nt
Filed under: uncultured bacterium
Lineage: Bacteria
Description: partial 16S ribosomal RNA
Rfam family: Bacterial small subunit ribosomal RNA
Source: RNAcentral